GACAGAUUGUAUGUGGAAUGUGAGAGAAAAAGAGUCAGGGAUGACCUGGCCUGUUUUUUGGCCUGAGCAGCUGAAAGGACAGGGUCACCAUUUCUUGAAAUGAAAAGACUGUGAGAAGAGUACAUGUGGAGGGGGAGGAAUGAAGACAUUAGUUCUGGGGAUGUAAAGUCUGACACGCCUAUUAGGCAUUUGGGAUGGUUAGGAGGCAGUUGCUUAUCUGAGCAUGGCAUCAGGGGAGACCUCCAGGCCGGAGAUACAAAUCCGCAAGCCAUCAACAAAGAGGUGGAAUUUAACAUGCUGGGACUGAUUGAGAUUAGCUAAGCAGUGGAUUCAGAUGAAGAGGAAAAGACAUCUGGAGAACUUAACCGUGAGGCAUAUCAACACACAGACAUCAUCAACAAGAAGAGAAACUGGCAAACAACAAGAACAACAACAAAAGAAAACAAUACAAGAUGAAAACCAAAACCAACCAACCCAACAAAAACCAGCUGAGAAUGAAGGGGCUGUGAAAUAGGAAAAGAACUAAGAAGUCUUCUGCACUAAAAGACAGUGGAGCAGUACCUGAAAAUAUCCUAGGGGAAUGAUUUUCAAACUGGAAUUCUCCAUCUGGCCAACGUGUCAACUGAGCGUGAGGAUGAUCUGCCAGGGAGUUGACCGCUUAAGAGGACAUCAUGAAACCUAGCAAAUAGGAGGGCAGAGGGAAUUCCUGGGAAUCAUCCCAGGGAAGGGCCAGAAAUCUCUGGGAGAAAGAUGCCGGCAUUGGACAGAAUCGAGAAGCCUCAGCCAGCCCUGGUUUCCUCCCAAGGUGAAACAGAUGGGUCUUUCUGUGCAUGAAAUAUCUCUGGAAGACACCGUUAACAAUUGCUCUGGGAAGGGAAACCGAGUGAUUACAGGGCAGGGAUGAGGUGGAAACUUACUUUCCACAUACAACUCUCUGUAGCUUUUUAUUCUGUCCAGUGUAUCUGCUAUAGAUAAUACAUAAAUUUAAGUAAUAAACAUUUUCUUUAAAAUUAAGUCUUUCUUGUGUCUCAACUCUAGAAAUUCAUUCUACUGUUGAUGGCCAUUUGGAUUGUUCCCAGUUUUGGGUGAUUACAAAUAAAGCUUCUGUGAAUAAC
Neofelis nebulosa (Clouded leopard) is the source of this 1115-nucleotide long non-coding RNA. RefSeq lists it as uncharacterized. The transcript is spliced from 3 exons. The record is from RefSeq and is a predicted model, not a curated record. Lineage: Eukaryota; Metazoa; Chordata; Mammalia; Carnivora; Felidae.